GAUGAACGCUGGCGGCGUGCCUAAUACAUGCAAGUCGAGCGAACGGACGAGAAGCUUGCUUUUCUGAUGUUAGCGGCGGACGGGUGAGUAACACGUGGAUAACCUACCUAUAAGACUGGGAUAACUUCGGGAAACCGGAGCUAAUACCGGAUAAUAUUUUGAACCGCAUGGUUCAAAAGUGAAAGACGGUCUUGCUGUCACUUAUAGAUGGAUCCGCGCUGCAUUAGCUAGUUGGUAAGGUAACUGCUUACCAAGGCAACGAUGCAUAGCCGACCUGAGAGGGUGAUCAGCCACACUGGAACUGAGACACGGUCCAGACUCCUACGGGAGGCAGCAGUAGGGAAUCUUCCGCAAUGGGCGAAAGCCUGACGGAGCAACGCCGCGUGAGUGAUGAAGGUCUUCGGAUCGUAAAACUCUGUUAUUAGGGAAGAACAUAUGUGGAAGUAACUGUGCACAUCUUGACGGUACCUAAUCAGAAAGCCACGGCUAACUACGUG
This 497-nucleotide ribosomal RNA is filed under the name uncultured bacterium. Its description in RNAcentral is "partial 16S ribosomal RNA". It matches the Rfam family "Bacterial small subunit ribosomal RNA", at positions 28 to 507 of the family's 1533-position model. The record is from RNAcentral.